GACGAACGCUGGCGGCGUGCUUAACACAUGCAAGUCGAACGGAAAGGCCCUGCUUUUGUGGGGUGCUCGAGUGGCGAACGGGUGAGUAACACGUGAGUAACCUGCCCUUGACUUUGGGAUAACUUCAGGAAACUGGGGCUAAUACCGGAUAGGAGCUCCUGCUGCAUGGUGGGGGUUGGAAAGUUUCGGCGGUUGGGGAUGGACUCGCGGCUUAUCAGCUUGUUGGUGGGGUAGUGGCUUACCAAGGCUUUGACGGGUAGCCGGCCUGAGAGGGUGACCGGCCACAUUGGGACUGAGAUACGGCCCAGACUCCUACGGGAGGCAGCAGUGGGGAAUAUUGCACAAUGGGCGGAAGCCUGAUGCAGCAACGCCUCGAGAGGGAUGACGGCCUUCGGGUUGUAAAACGCUUUCGCCUGUGACGAAGCGUGAGUGACGGUAAUGGGUAAAGAAGCACCGGCUAACUACGUG
Molecule: ribosomal RNA, 468 nt
Filed under: uncultured bacterium
Lineage: Bacteria
Description: partial 16S ribosomal RNA
Rfam family: Bacterial small subunit ribosomal RNA
Source: RNAcentral